Molecule: long non-coding RNA, 218 nt
Organism: Oreochromis aureus
Lineage: Eukaryota; Metazoa; Chordata; Actinopteri; Cichliformes; Cichlidae
Exons: 3
Source: RefSeq, a predicted model, not a curated record
UUAGGAACUCGGCACACCGGGACACCCCACGUUCCACUUACACAAGGAUCACAAAGCUAUAUAGGGCAAACAACACCUCUAAAAAACACAAGGUUCAAUAAGUUGUCCAGAAAAACCUACAGAAGCGGGAUGCCUGGGUGUGCGUUGGAGCUGCCUUUGCUACCCGCACACAGCGUUUCUGACCUACGGGCGCUGUUUAUACAACAGAGAAAAGCAAC